This 484-nucleotide ribosomal RNA is filed under the name uncultured bacterium. RNAcentral's name for it is "partial 16S ribosomal RNA". It matches the Rfam family "Bacterial small subunit ribosomal RNA", at positions 28 to 507 of the family's 1533-position model. The record is from RNAcentral.
GUUGAACGCUGGCGGCAGGCCUAACACAUGCAAGUCGAGCGGAUGGAGGGAGCUUGCUCCUCGAUUCAGCGGCGGACGGGUGAGUAAUGCCUAGGAAUCUGCCAAGUAGAGGGGGAUAACGUCCCGAAACGGGCGCUAAUACCGCAUCCGAACUGAGGGUGCACGCGGGGGAUCUCUCGACCCCACGCUACCAGUUGAGCCUAGGACGGAUUAGCUAGUCGGUGGGGUAAAGGCCUACCAAGGCGACGAUCCGUAACUGGUCUGCGAGGAUGAUCAGUCACACUGGGACUGAGAGACGGGCCAGACUCCGACGGGAGGCAGCAGUGGGGAAUAUUGGACGAUGGGCGAGAGCCAGAUCCAGCCAUGCGGCGUGUGUGAAGAAGGUCUUCGGAUGGUAAAGCACUUGGAGUUGGGAGGAAGGGCAGUAAGUUAAGACCUUGCUGUUUUGACGGUACCUGCAGAAUAAGCACCGGCUAACUUCGUG